Molecule: ribosomal RNA, 254 nt
Filed under: uncultured bacterium
Lineage: Bacteria
Description: partial 16S ribosomal RNA
Rfam family: Bacterial small subunit ribosomal RNA
Source: RNAcentral
UACGUAGGGGGCAAGCGUUGUCCGGAUUUAUUGGGCGUAAAGAGCUCGUAGGCGGCUUUGUAAGUCGGGUGUGAAAACUCUAGGCUCAACCUAGAGACGCCACCCGAUACUGCGAUGACUAGAGUCCGGUAGGGGAGAGUGGAAUUCCUGGUGUAGCGGUGAAAUGCGCAGAUAUCUGAAGGAACAUCAGUGGCGAAAGCGACUGUCUGGACCAAUACUGACGCUCAUGUGCGAAAGCGUGGGGAGCAAACAGG